GACGAACGCUGGCGGCGCGCCUAACACAUGCAAGUCGAGCGAUGAAAUUUUAACCGAUCUCUUCGGAGUGAAGAUAAACUGGAUUAGCGGCGGACGGGUGAGUAACACGUGAGAAACCUGCCUUUCACAAGGGGACAGCCUCGGGAAACCGGGAUUAAUACCCUAUGACACAUUUCCUUCUCAUGGACGCAAUGUUAAAACUCCGGUGGUGAAGGAUGGUCUCGCGCCUGAUUAGCUAGUUGGUGGGGUAACGGCCCACCAAGGCCAUGAUCAGUAACCGGGCUGAGAGGGUGAGCCGUCACAUUGGAACUGAGACACAGUCCAGACUCCUGCGGGAGGCAGCAGUGGGGAAUAUUGCACAAUGGAGGGAACUCUGAUGCAGCGACGCCGCGUGAGCGAUGAAGGCUUUCGAGUCGUAAAGCUCUGUCCUAUGGGAAGAUAAUGACGGUACCAGAGGAGGAAGCCCCGGCUAACUACGUG
RNAcentral lists this ribosomal RNA (480 nucleotides) under uncultured bacterium. RNAcentral's name for it is "partial 16S ribosomal RNA". It matches the Rfam family "Bacterial small subunit ribosomal RNA", at positions 28 to 507 of the family's 1533-position model. The record is from RNAcentral.